Long non-coding RNA from Trachemys scripta elegans, 474 nucleotides. RefSeq lists it as uncharacterized. The record is from RefSeq and is a predicted model, not a curated record. The transcript is spliced from 3 exons. Lineage: Eukaryota; Metazoa; Chordata; Testudines; Emydidae.
CUUAGAACAGUAGAGGUCUCCACAUCCCUCAGUAGAAGUAAAAGGCAUCUGUUGCAAGUCAAUUAAUAAACUCAUUUACAAAGAGAAAUCUCAAAACGGGAUCAGAAUCUAGGUUCCCAAGUGAGCGAUUUUCCAGUUUCAGCUAAAAGAACAUCUCUACGAUCUCAGGAGGUUUGCAACCUUUUCAAGGGGGAGAAAGGUCAGCAGAUGGCACUUUUUGGAGAUGAUGUCAGUUUUCCUCUAUGGAGUAUCUAACAAGCUCAUUCUGCCCUGUCAGAAGCAUCCACCAGUGACAGACACUGAAGCAUUAAGAAAACCCGCUGAAGGACUUAUUGGUUUGCCAGUGCAGACACAGCAUUCAUAAAUGUGCUUUGUUCCAAUAAUGGCACACUGGAGAUGAACAUAUGGCCUUCACAUGUCCUCCCUUUCAAGAUCCCAACACCACAAUCUUUUUACCUAGUGACACUCUAGCAG